Stomoxys calcitrans (stable fly) is the source of this 7212-nucleotide RNA transcript. It is a transcript of the gene named ribosome-releasing factor 2, mitochondrial, with no coding region annotated. The record is from RefSeq and is a predicted model, not a curated record. The transcript has 14 exons. Lineage: Eukaryota; Metazoa; Arthropoda; Insecta; Diptera; Muscidae.
UCCAGUUGUUCACAUGAAAGCAAAAUGAAAAAAACUAGCUACCCUUUCGCUACACAAUAAAAGGCAUCAGUGAAAAAUACAAAAUGCCUUCCUAAAAAAAGGCAGCCAGCCCGAGCCCAAAUAGUAGUGUUGAGUGAAUGUGUAAAAAAGAAAAGAAAAACGAGGUGGCGACGGUAAACUGGAAUUUAUUUUCCUUACUGACUGCUGCUUCCUUAUUACUGCACACACACAGUGUGUUUUUUCAAAUGAUUUUAAUAAAAUAAAUGCGGCAAUAAGAUAAAGUGUGAUAUAAAACCACAAUUGUGCAUCGAUUAAAUGUUAUGCUGUGUAUCGAUUUAGUAAAAUAUAAUGAAACGGUCGGCCAAAAUGGGCGAAUAAAAAAAAACAAGUGCAUUUGCGAAAAAAGUGGUGACGCUGGAAGAAAAGAAGAGAAGAAACAACACACCAAUACGAAAGCAGAACGACUGCUUGACGCUGACGACGACAGAGAGGUGUGUGAGUGAGCUUGUUGUAUGUCUGGCCAGAGCAGUUCUGCGGCUGUUGUUGUUGUUGUCGCUGCUGCUCUUAUUGUGGAUAUUGUGCGUUUCAGCUUCGCUGUUGUGUCGGCUUAACAUAUAUAGUGUUUUAUAUAUAGAAAUAUUAGAUAUUUUCAUGCUAACUUAACUAAAACACAUUUUUGUUUAAUGCGAGUUUUUCGUUGUUUCGGUCUGUGUUGUGUUUUUAUUAGUGAUUAACCAAAUGGCUUAAAAUUAUUCCCCCCUUUAAUAAGUGUAUUAUUCACAAAAUUCUUAUUUGGUUUAAAGAAAAAACAAAGUUAAAACAAAGUGUUGUGCAAAAUUGUAUACAUAACUAAAUAUAUAGAUUGUGCAGCCUCGUAUUUGGUCGAAUACAAUCUACGGAAAAUAAUAAAAUUACCUUGGCGUUUGGCAUCGUUGUGACCACGACGGCGGCGGCGGCGACCAAGCCCAAAAACCAACAAACUCCAGUCAAGCAUUUCAAAUGCAACUAAGCAUAAAUUACAAGAAGCAACGUAGAAAAAAGAAGAAAACACACAUACAGUAAAAUUUUUCAUACACCUCCAUCUCUCCACCCGCUCGAUAACAGCCCAACUUCACUGCUGCAUUUUUGCUCCACACAAUUACUCAUACAACAGUAGCAAAAAAGAAAGAAAGAAAAAAAAACGUAUAGAAGGACUUGCAGUUGUCCUGUCAUACUUACUACACUUUGACGAAAAUUUAGACCACUACUGACUUGACUCAUACCGUCAAACAAACAUUUCGUCAUCAGUCAUUAUCAUCAGUUUUUUCUUCUUGUUGUAAGAAGGCGUUGGAAAUAAAGCAAUAAUAACAACAACAACUACAAAAACACAAUAUUGACAUAAAACUCAAGAAGCUAAGAAAGAAUAUAAGGAAAAGAGAAGACCGAAAAAAUACAAACGGAAACAUGACAACCGAAGAGUUGAAAGUGGUUUUACAUCGUAGUAGUGAUCAUUCCGGUUUUGGUUUUUCAUUGUUGGGCACUACCGGGCCCCCACAUGUUAUCUAUGACAUUGUGGAGAAUUCACCGGCAGCUGAUUGUGGUGUGGUUGAGGCCGGAGAUGUCAUAUUGAAAGUAAAUGGCAUCGAUGUACAUCAGUAUACAACGAAGGAGGUUUUAAAAUGUCUGCGCCUCUCUGAAGAUUUAGUUACUUUGGAGCUAAAAAGAGAUCCAAAACUCAAGGCGCGCAUCAAAGAACAAUUGGCAAAUACGAAAAGUCCCCAUUACAUAGACAUAGAGACAUCACCCACAAAUAACUACGAUUAUCAUCAUCCUCAACAGCAGCAACAACAUCACCACCACCACCACCACCACCACCGUCAGCAGCAAUCGCAACAUCAAAUCAGAUCAUCACCUCAGCACCAUUAUAAUCAGCACCAUCAACAACAACAACAACACGAAGCUGCCAACAACAGUAACAGUAGUAGUAGUAGUAAUAAAUUACAACAACAUUACGAGGCGACAACAACAACGACGCACAAUUAUCAAACGAAUAUGACGACAACAACAAUAGUACAUCAGCAGCAUUCAUCGCCCCACUCAUCCCCAGCUAGCAAUUCACCUGCCUCUUCGUCGCGUUUUAAAUCGCCCACAAGUUUGCCACAACGUCAUAACCAGCAGGCAGCAGCAUCGGCCGCAACUGUAAACCUUUCGAAUCACAGUCGCAGCUCUUCCGCCUCAUCGAAUAAAAUUCAAUUGGAGGGAAGCAGCAGUGGAGGGGCUGGUGGUGGCAGCGUGAUUGCAGGCACCUCAGCAGCAAAUACAGCCACCUCACCAACAUCGCGCAUACCCUCACGCAUACCGCAAGCCUUAAAAUGUAACCAAAAGCCUCAACAAUCGCCACAGCAUAAGAGACCAAGGCCCUCACAAAUACCCACUAAGGCCAUGACCUCGUCAAUAACAUCGACGACGGGCUGUGAUCUGAAUGCGGGGGCCACAACCACAACCACUAAUGGCAAUAGCAUUGGUCCCCAUUCCCUGCAACAUUCGAACAGCUACAGCGGCAAUACGGCGGCGGCGGCGGCGGUGGCGGCAAGACAAAACAAAUCGAAUUCCUCGGAGGACAGGGACACACCGGAACCCAAUUCGGCACCACCACAACCUGCCAAGGCACCCCGUUUUGAGGCUUACAUGAUGACUGGCGAUUUGAUAUUGAAUCUUUCGCGUACUCCACAAACUAGCAAUCCCUUGCCCGUUCAUGCCAAAAAAGUGGACAGUUUGCGAGACUCGCCCAGUCGGGUGGGUCUGGCGCGAGCCAAUGGUGCCUUGGCCCCUAAGGCCUCGGGCGAGUCAUCACCCACCUCGUCUUCAUCGCAGGAAUCUCCCACACAUGCCCAUACCCAUACCCACAGCCAUAGCACAACCAAUACUGACUCCAAGAAUUUACACAAUAAGGAAAAAUCUCGUUUCCACAAGAAACAAGCGCUGGCGCAACAUCUUCAAAACUAUCAGCAGCAGCAGCAGCAGCAGGAGAGUCUCGAUACCACUUACAACAAUCGUCAGGACUCUUUGGCCAAUGACACCUUGCUGCUGUGUGAGGAAUUGGAAAAGGACGAUGAGGAAAACAUAGAGGACAACGAUCAGCAACAUGGCGGAGGCGGUGGAGGAGGUGGGGGUGGACGCCAACAUCGCCAUCAGCGUCAUCAACGCUAUGUGCAACAGAACAAGCAAACGCGUUACCAGCAACAAACGCGACAGGGGCAGCAAAAGAGCUAUGAGUAUUAUCAGAAUGAGGACGAAGAGCGUCAUGCGGACGAUGAUGAUGAGGACAACGAAGAGGACGAGGACUAUGAUGAUGGCAACUACGCUGCGGAGGAGGAUGAGGAUGAUAAUGACGAGGAUCAAACCCACUAUGAUAUUACCAAUCUGGAGACCUACAACAGUGGCGGCAUGGGUAUGGGCGGCAGUGUGCAUGCCGACGAUGAGGCUAGUGAUAGGCAGUGUCUAAUGCAAUAUGGCGAUGAUGAUGACGAUGAUGACGAAGAUGAUGAAAUGCUGGCCGAUGAUUCCAAUUCGUUGGGCUCCUCAUCUACCAAGCAGAAGUUAAAAGCUUUAAAACAAAAGGCUGCUUUGCGCUACAAACGGCGCUCCGAAGACAAUGUGGACUGUUCGCGUAAUCUGCGUAGCUCGGCUUCCUCAUCCUCAUCUACCACAGUGGGAGGUGGUCAUGGUGGCGGUGGUGGUGGUGGUGUUGGAGGCGGCGGUGGCGGCGGUGGCGGCGGUGGCGGCGGUAAUAAUACAUCACAAGACGAAACCUCAUUCUCAGUGCCCACUUCACCCAUAUCGCUGUCCACACCGCUCAUCGAUAAGGAGACCGCCAAUUCGGUGCCCACCAGCCCUGAACCCUCGAAUUUGGCCGCUGGCACUGCAGGGGCAGCGGUGGUUGACACAAGUGGUGUGGUGCGGCGUCACCAUCAUCACCACCACCACAAUGGGCAGAUCGUGCGCAAGUGUGAUAGUGCAGGUUUUCGCACCAGUAAGUCGGAAGAUCAUUUGCAGCAAAUUCAACGUGAAGGUAUGGCUGCUGUUAUACCCAUAGAUAUUGAUGAAGAUGUAAAUAGUUCUUUGAAUACACUAUUAGAUACACGGCAAGAUUCGGAAGAUUCCCAGAAUUCGGAUCGUGAUCGCAUUGUAUGGACUUAUAAUGCUCCCUUGCAACCACAUCAGAUAGCAGCUUUGCAACAGCAGCAACAACAACAACAACAACAGUAUUCUACAAAUUAUCAUACAAACAAUUCUCACAAUCAUUCACAUUCACACUCCAGUUCGAUGAGUUCAUCGCCCCAACAUUCAGCCGGUAGUCCUGCCUCGCCCACUUCGGUGUCCAGUUCGGUUAUGUCAUCGUCUGGUGGCUCUAAGGGUGCGUUUGGUCUUAGUGGUAAUAACAAUGGUCACAUGCAACAGCAUGUGCUUGUCACUAAUGGUAGUAGUAUGAAUUCGACUAAUACAACAAAUAUGGGUUUAUUAUAUUGUCCAAACGGUAGUAAUGGUGGUGGUGGCGGUGGAGUCGGUAGUAGUGGUAAUACUAACAAUACUUUGGGCGGUGGUAAUGGUGGAGGAGGAGGCGGCGGCGGAGAUCUUAGUGUCUCCGAAGCCAUUUCGAAUAUUUCUAGUCCCGACUACCAGGAUGAUGAUAAUUUACUCAGUUCUCGCGAUCUUUUAGGCGGUAUGAUACUUAGUGAUCCCAGUGAUUCGGAUUCAACGAUUUUGGUUUCGGAUGCUGCUGUGCAGCGUCAACAGCACCACAGACAACAUCAUCAUCACCAGCAGCAAAAGUCUUCAGAACACAAGGUUGUCAUCAAGGUGCGAGGGGCAGACAAUGGCAAUCUAAACAAUAACAAUGGUUCGCCCACGAGUAGAUCUCAACAUGCUGGAUCAUCUGAACACAAAGAUUCCGAAGAUGAACUUGCCACCCUAACCGAAGAACCUCUGCAAAAUGCCACAACCUCCUCAAUGGCAGGCGGCAGCAGCAAUAAUAAUGCCUCCUCUGGCGAUGGUCGUGAUUCAUCACCACCCGUAUCGGAUGAUGGCAGUGAUGUGGAAUCACUGCACUCGUAUCACUAUUCUCCUAAGGCUGUAGAUAUGCCAUCGGCCAUACGAUUGGCAAAAAGACUGUAUACUCUUGAUGGUUUCAAGAAAAGUGAUGUAUCGCGUCAUUUAAGUAAAAAUAACGAUUUUAAUCGUGCCGUUGCCGAUGAAUAUUUGAAAUAUUUCAAUUUCGAAACAAAGACUUUGGAUCAAUCGCUGCGUGAAUUCCUACAACAAUUUGCACUGUCGGGCGAAACACAAGAGCGUGAAAGAGUUUUGGUACAUUUUUCUAAGCGCUAUUUGGAUUGUAAUCCGGGAACAUUUAACUCACAAGAUGCCGUUCACACCUUAACCUGUGCUAUAAUGCUGCUAAACACUGAUCUACAUGGUCAAAAUAUUGGUCGCAAAAUGACAUGUAGUGAGUUCAUUGAAAAUCUCGCAGAACUUAAUGAUGGUGAAAACUUUCCCAAAGAUAUACUCAAGAGCUUGUAUCAGGCAAUCAAAACACAACCAUUGGAGUGGGCCCUGGAUGACGAUGCCAAUGAUUUGCAAAAACAACAAUCGGAUAAUAAAAAUAAUGUACAAUCUACAGCGCAUUUAGGACAAAAUCCAUUUUUGGAUUUACCAGAGACAGCGAAUGCCGUGGAAUAUAAGAAGGGCUAUGUCAUGCGCAAGAGCUGUUAUGAUGCAAAUUUCAAGAAAACUCCUUUUGGCAAAAGAUCUUGGAAAAUGUUUUACUGUACGCUUAGAGAUUUGGUUUUAUUUUUGCACAAAGAUGAGCACGGUUUUCGCAAGAGUCAAAUGUCUGAUAACCUUCACAAUGCCAUACGUAUUCACCAUGCAUUGGCCACCAAAGCUACCGAUUAUACUAAGAAACAACAUGUCUUUCGCUUACAAACUGCCGAUCAAGCAGAGUAUCUAUUCCAAACUAGUGAUUCCAAGGAGUUACAGUCAUGGGUGGAAACAAUAAAUUUCGUGUGUGCCGCCUAUUCAGCACCUCCUUUAGAAGGAGGUGUGGGUAGUCAAAAACGUUUCCAAAGACCACUGCUACCUAGUUCACAUACCAAAUUGUUACUGAAAGAACAGUUGGAGUCACAUGAACAGCAAUUGGGAAAAAUAGAAAAUACUUUAAUGGAACAUAAAAAAGGUCCCAUUCCAACAAAAGGCUUAGCUUUACAAAAUUACAAGGAAAAGGAGGCAUUUUUACAAUAUGAGUUACGUCGCUAUAAGGCGUAUGUGUCAAUUUUAGCAGCUAAAAUUUUAGCUGAUCAACAACAACAAUUCGAGUUGCAGCAAUCGAAUCAAUUAAACGAAGAGGAUUCCGAUAAGUUUUUUAAAAUCCAAACAGCCACCACUCCGAUACGAUUACAACCAUUAGCAACGACGACAGCAAAUAGUAUUAAUGCGAACGAGGAACAGGAACAACAACAACUUACAUCACCCCAGUUACAAACACAACAACAACAGCAGCAAUCUGGAAACAGAUCGUAUGGCUGUUUUGCCUGGCUGUCGUGCAUAUUUUCCUAAAUUAUUUAAGUUUUUCAUGUUGCGAAGAAAAAUUAACCAAUAGCAAAGCCAGUUUCAGAACAAAAUAAACUACCAAAACACAUCCACAUUCCACAGCACCCUUCAAAAUUUAUUCUGAAAACACUGAAAGGAAAAAAGAGAAAAAGAAAUAAAAGUGUUACAGGUUUUAUUGGAUUUACAUUUUACUUUUGUUCCAUUACAAAUUCUCAUCAUCAUUGAUAUUUUUGUUCAUUAUGCGCCACAUACAGCACACAUUUGUGUUCUUCUGAAGAAAACUGCAUUCUUGGGUAAGUUUUUCAUACAACGACAUAAUGUGCAUAAUACCGAGAGUAAAAGAGGGAAAGAAAAAAAAGUUGAAAGUACGAAAAAUGUUGUCACCCUCUUUCAAAAAAAAAAAAAAAAGAAAUCUCUUAAACAUUGUAAAACGAUUUGAAAACGAAAAAGAUGAUUUUGAAAUGAAAUAUAUAUGUAUGUAUGUACAGGUGAUAUGUGAUUGAUUAUAUAUAGCAAUAGUCAUUUUUACCCAAAAUGAAUGUGUGUGUAUGUGUAUUAUUUGUUUUAAAUAUGUUAUUUGUUUACCAUUAAAGAAGAAACAAAUCGAAACCACACGAAGAAAUCUAA